UGCAAGUCGAGCGGAUGAAGGGAGCUUGCUCCUGGAUUCAGCGGCGGACGGGUGAGUAAUGCCUAGGAAUCUGCCUGGUAGUGGGGGAUAACGUCCGGAAACGGGCGCUAAUACCGCAUACGUCCUGAGGGAGAAAGUGGGGGAUCUUCGGACCUCACGCUAUCAGAUGAGCCUAGGUCGGAUUAGCUAGUUGGUGGGGUAAAGGCCUACCAAGGCGACGAUCCGUAACUGGUCUGAGAGGAUGAUCAGUCACACUGGAACUGAGACACGGUCCAGACUCCUACGGGAGGCAGCAGUGGGGAAUAUUGGACAAUGGGCGAAAGCCUGAUCCAGCCAUGCCGCGUGUGUGAAGAAGGUCUUCGGAUUGUAAAGCACUUUAAGUUGGGAGGAAGGGCAGUAAGUUAAUACCUUGCUGUUUUGACGUUACCAACAGAAUAAGCACCGGCUAACUUCGUGCCAGCAGCCGCGGUAAUACGAAGGGUGCAAGCGUUAAUCGGAAUUACUGGGCGUAAAGCGCGCGUAGGUGGUUCAGCAAGUUGGAUGUGAAAUCCCCGGGCUCAACCUGGGAACUGCAUCCAAAACUACUGAGCUAGAGUACGGUAGAGGGUGGUGGAAUUUCCUGUGUAGCGGUGAAAUGCGUAGAUAUAGGAAGGAACACCAGUGGCGAAGGCGACCACCUGGACUGAUACUGACACUGAGGUGCGAAAGCGUGGGGAGCAAACAGGAUUAGAUACCCUGGUAGUCCACGCCGUAAACGAUGUCGACUAGCCGUUGGGAUCCUUGAGAUCUUAGUGGCGCAGCUAACGCGAUAAGUCGACCGCCUGGGGAGUACGGCCGCAAGGUUAAAACUCAAAUGAAUUGACGGGGGCCCGCACAAGCGGUGGAGCAUGUGGUUAAUUCGAAGC
This 905-nucleotide ribosomal RNA is filed under the name Pseudomonas aeruginosa. RNAcentral's name for it is "bacterial SSU rRNA". It matches the Rfam family "Bacterial small subunit ribosomal RNA", at positions 56 to 957 of the family's 1533-position model. The record is from RNAcentral. Lineage: Bacteria; Pseudomonadati; Pseudomonadota; Gammaproteobacteria; Pseudomonadales; Pseudomonadaceae.